Long non-coding RNA from Choloepus didactylus (southern two-toed sloth), 617 nucleotides. RefSeq lists it as uncharacterized. The record is from RefSeq and is a predicted model, not a curated record. The transcript has 3 exons. NCBI's taxonomy places the organism in Eukaryota, Metazoa, Chordata, Mammalia, Pilosa, Megalonychidae.
CUGAUUCUUAUGUUUCAGGUUCUCCAUCAUCUUCUAUAACCUUGUAGUUUAAAAAUAAUGCCACUUAAUUGAUCAAUACCUUAAAGACUUGGAAGAGGAACCAUUCAAGAACUCUCUCCCUUAGAGCCUCCAAGUGAGGCUCCUUCAGAGUGUCCCCAGGAGGUUCAGCCAGCCAAUAGGUCACAACAACCCUUUGAGGAAAGGACUAUUAUGACCCUCAUUUUGCAGAUGAAAAAACUGAGGUUCAGAAAGGUUUCCUUGAGACUAUUAAAUAUUCUCCUAGAAUGACUAAAUCCUGAAAGGAUUUAAUUUUCCAAGCUAGAAGGAACCUUACCCAUUGUCUAGUCAUCAUUUUACAGAAGAGGAAAGAGAUCUGGAUGGUAAGUGAAUGCUGUGGUUACACAGCCAGUUGUGUCACCAAGGGUAGGACGCUGGCGACUAGUGUUCUUUCUGCUGGAACACGCUGGCUCUGGCCACUGAUAGUUCCCUUGGCUCUGUCUGGACUCUCCUGAGCAAGCACAAGUGAUAGGAGCUGAUAACACACAAAGGCCUUUAGAUCAAGCAAUGGCCUCUGCCUCUUGGCUACUCAUGUUUGCUUAGCCGAUACUGAAUUCUUG